Molecule: transfer RNA, 72 nt
Filed under: Marmota monax (woodchuck)
Lineage: Eukaryota; Metazoa; Chordata; Mammalia; Rodentia; Sciuridae
Description: tRNA.Ala
Source: RNAcentral
UGGGUUGUGGCUCAGUGUUAGAGUGCUUGCUUAGCACAUAUGAGGCACUGGGUUUGAUCCUCAGCACCACAU